AUGCAAGUAAGUAGAACGGACCAUCAACAUCCGGGAUGCGCGAGCGAGCACGCACCAAUUCCUUUCAGAAACUGGACGGGACAAAAAUCAUGGUGUACAGCACAAGAAAACCACGAGCACCGGAGAAGAAAUCAACAAGCAGAACUCGCCAUGGCCAAUGGAGGAGGGGAAGGGGAAGGGAUGAUCGGAACGGUCGAGGUCGUCACUGUCGCUGCGCGGAGGCGGAGGAGUUGGAGGAAGGAGACGGGAUCCUGUCGAUGGCCUGGAGCACGUCCUUCAUGGCGGGCCGCUUGCCGGGCGCCGCGGCGCAGCACGCGAACCCCAGCCUCAGGCAGCUCGCCAGCGUCUCCUCCCUGCCCUCCAUCUCCCCCCGCAGCGCCGCGUCCGCCAGCAGGAACGCCUGCUGCCCGCUGUCCUCCCCCGCCGCCCACUGGCAGAGCUCCACGCUCGUCAGCGCGCGCCCGGCCACCAGUUCGAGCAGUACCAUGCCGAACGAGUACACGUCCCACUUGGUGCUCGGCUUCGUCGGGUUCUUGGCCGCCUCCGGCGCCUGGUAGUGCGCGGCCGCCUCCGCGGAGGAGGAAGGCCCGGCGCCGGCCAGCGGGCUCGCCCCUCCUCCUGCUGUCCCGGGUGGCGGCGGCGACAGGUCCGGCAGGCUCUUGGCCGACCGCUUGCUCCCGAACCGCCCCGCCGGCUUCAGCCUGCUGUCCCCGGCGCCGCGGACCAGCCGGUGGAUGCCCAGGUCGGCCAGCAGCGGCUCCAUGUCCGCGUCCAGGAGGAUGUUGCUGGGCCUCACGUUGCCGUGCACGCACUUCUUGUCGUGGAGGUAGGCCAGGCCGCUCGCCACGCCUCGCGCGAUGCGCAGCCGCGCGCUCCACCCGAGGCUCAUCGGCGGCGUCCCCGGCUUCCCUGCUCAGCGAUCCAUCGAGCCGCGUCAGCAAUGCGCAGCCAACGCUAAAUGAAAUUAAUGGCGCGUCUACGUCGAGUUGGGUUGCGUGCUUACUUUUCACGGAGGCGUUUGCGAGGCUGCCAUUGGCGGCCAGGUCGUGGAUGAGGAGCAUCUCGUCGGGGCCCCAGUAG
This 1080-nucleotide ribosomal RNA is filed under the name Triticum aestivum (bread wheat). Its description in RNAcentral is "partial small subunit ribosomal RNA". The record is from RNAcentral. Lineage: Eukaryota; Viridiplantae; Streptophyta; Magnoliopsida; Poales; Poaceae.